GUCUAUGGCCAUGCCACCCUGAACAAGCCCGAUCCCAUCUGAUCUCGGAAACUAAGCAGGGUCAGGCCAGGUUAGUACUUGGAUGGGAGACCACCUAGGAAGACCAGGUACUGUAGGCC
This 119-nucleotide ribosomal RNA is filed under the name Pteropus alecto (black flying fox). The record is from RNAcentral. Lineage: Eukaryota; Metazoa; Chordata; Mammalia; Chiroptera; Pteropodidae.